AAUUCGAUUGAGUUUGAUCCUGGCUCAGAAUCAACGCUGGCGGCGUGCCUCAGACAUGCAAGUCGAACGCGAAAGUCCCCUUCGGGGGACAAGUAGAGUGGCGCACGGGUGAGUAACACGUAGGUAAUCUACCUUCGGAUGGGGAAUAACAAUCGGAAACGAUUGCUAAUACCGCAUAAUGCAGCGGCACCUAAUGGUGACAGUUGUUAAAGCGGGGGAUCGAAAGACCUCGCGUCUGAAGAGGAGCCUGCGGCGGAUUAGCUAGUUGGUAAGGUAAUGGCUUACCAAGGCAACGAUCCGUAACCGGCCUGAGAGGGCGGUCGGUCACACUGACACUGACAUACGGGUCAGACUCCUACGGGAGGCAGCAGUCGGGAAUUUUGGGCAAUGGGCGAAAGCCUGACCCAGCAACGCCGCGUGAAGGAUGAAAUCCCUCGGGAUGUAAACUUCGCAAGAACGGGAAGAAUAAGUAGGGAACAAUACCCCCUAUGAUGACGGUACCGUUUGUAAGCUCCGGCUAACUCCGUGCCAGCAGCCGCGGUAAUACGGGGGGAGCAAGCGUUGUUCGGAUUUACUGGGCGUAAAGGGCGCGUAGGCGGCCAGCACAAGUCAGUUGUGAAAUCUCCGAGCUUAACUCGGAAAGGUCAACUGAUACUGUGCGGCUAGAGUGCGGAAGGG
RNAcentral lists this ribosomal RNA (678 nucleotides) under uncultured bacterium. Its description in RNAcentral is "bacterial SSU rRNA". It matches the Rfam family "Bacterial small subunit ribosomal RNA", at positions 1 to 656 of the family's 1533-position model. The record is from RNAcentral.